GUUGCAUCGACCAUGCUGUAUAUGAUGAAGGAUGCCCACAUAAGCAUCAUUUUUCUGAAAAUAGUAUUUGGACCUACCAAACCAGAACACAAGACAAGAGGAUCCAAUGGCACCUGCUGAAACUAUGGAGGCAUUCGCCCCAUCGGAAAUUCCAGGUAUGAAGGUCAAGACCGCACCUAAAACCCAGGCAACUUUCCAGAAAGCAUCUCGACGAGUCGUAUACUUUUCAUCAUCUGGCUCUUGUGGUUUUUGUUCGCUUGAAUAUUGGUUGUCAAAAAAUUCAUGUAGUGUAGCACUUCGUCCUGCUUCACCAACGCAUAGUAGCAACAAUGAUCCAUAGAUUUCCCCAAUUGCAAUAUUCUUGUUCUUCACCGCUUUCGAAGAGCUUAAUAGAAUCAAUCCCUGCAGCAUCAAAGUUAUAUGAAGAGACUAAAUGGAAAGAAGAAAAAAAAGUUAUAUAAUAGGUUCUAAAAUGGGGAAAAUUCUACCAUAUUAUACCUACUGAAUUCAUAGGCAAAGUUUAUUCACGUCCCUACCCACCACUCCCUUGCACGUACAACGCACAUACAACCAUAUAUUUUUUUUAUCAGGUAAAUUACAACUGCGUGAGUCGAACUCACAGCCUCUUAUUAUUAAAAAGGAAUCGAACUCACAACUUCUCACUUAUCAAAAAAGAGAUUAUGUCACUAGACCAAAUAGUACUAAGCAUAUACAACCACAUGUUAGUAGAAUGUAUGCCAUACCUUAAUAAAAAUGGUACCCCUUUUUUUUCUUUUUUCUUAGAAGCUACUAGAACUAGCUAGUUUUGAAUCGUGUAGUGUUCCAAAAAUUAAUGAUGAAAAUCAUGUAAUGUUUCAGUAAAGUGUAUAUGUAUAUGUUCGAUCUCUUCUAGAAAAAUAAAUAAAAAAGGAUAAGAACUCAAUGUCAAGGGAAUUGGAGGUUUGGCAAUAAUAAGAACACUCACAAGUAUGUAGGCUACAUUCGUGGAGAUGAUCAUAAUAAUAUGGUCAUCCAUGCAGUACUUGUCUGAGAUGUGAGCAAGGAGUAUUAUCAUCAUGCUUA
Fragaria vesca subsp. vesca is the source of this 1062-nucleotide RNA transcript. RefSeq lists it as uncharacterized. The transcript has 2 exons. The record is from RefSeq and is a predicted model, not a curated record. NCBI's taxonomy places the organism in Eukaryota, Viridiplantae, Streptophyta, Magnoliopsida, Rosales, Rosaceae.